This is a long non-coding RNA of Oreochromis aureus, 922 nucleotides long. NCBI's taxonomy places the organism in Eukaryota, Metazoa, Chordata, Actinopteri, Cichliformes, Cichlidae. The record is from Ensembl.
GCCAAACGUAAAUCAGACAGACUGAGUGUUUCUGCAGACUGUUCUCUGGUUAUAAAGAAGGUCACAGAUCAGGAUGUUGGUCGUUACACCUGCAGACAGUUCAAAACAAGAGGAGGAUCACAAGAAGGUCCAGACUUUAUUAUUGAUCUGUCUGUUAUUAACAGUGAAGAUGUGAAAACAACUAAAUCGACAACAGUGAAGUCCACCACAAAAACAUCAUCAACAACGUCAGAAGGGACAUCAAAUAAUCCAUCAGUAGUUCAGUCAUGGUUUAUCAUCGUUCCUGUGGGUUUAGCAGCACUGUUAGUUGUUGUGGUGAUCAUCAUAUGGAAGAAAACUAAAGAAAACAAAACCCAACAGAGUGACAACACUGCUGAAGCCGAUGAUGAAGUUUCCUACGCCUCCAUCAGCUUCACAAAGAAAACCAAGAGUAAAGACCGGCCUCGCGUUGAUGAUGAUGGUGAGACUAUGACCUACAGCACUGUGAAGACUUUCUCUCCACCUGCUGGAGUUUCCACUGAUUCCAGCGACCUCUAUUCCACCAUCAACAAACCAAAGACAUAGUAUGUUGGUCAUGAAAGGCUGCAUGUUGUUUUUCUUGAUGCUGCAUCAAUGUUUCAAUUGUAAAUUUCUUUACAUUUUUCAAAUUAAAAUGUAAUAUUUGUGUGUAAUAUAUAGGUAAGCACUUUUUUGAAAGCUUAACUCAAGUCAGUACAGACAAGGUAGUUUAUUUAGCUUCUGAAUUAAGUCAUGUGAGAUGUUUUUAAGUAAACAACUUACAUGUUGUUUUCUUAAGCACAUUAGUAGAUCUAAAUCUUUCCAUUCCUUAAUUUUAAAUUUUUUUUAAUGCCUUAAACAUAUUCUCAUCAUCAUCUAUGACAGUAUUACAUUACACACCAAGCACGAUAGGUUGUUGCGAAAA